AAUAGAUACCCUGGUAGUCCAUGCCGUAAACGUUGGGCACUAGGUGUGGGGGACAUUCCACGUUUUCCGCGCCGUAGCUAACGCAUUAAGUGCCCCGCCUGGGGAGUACGGCCGCAAGGCUAAAACUCAAAGGAAUUGACGGGGGCCCGCACAAGCGGCGGAGCAUGCGGAUUAAUUCGAUGCAACGCGAAGAACCUUACCAAGGCUUGACAUGGACCGGAUCGCUGCAGAAAUGUGGUUUCUCCUUUUGGGGCCGGUUCACAGGUGGUGCGUGGUUGUCGUCAGCUCGUGUCGUGAGAUGUUGGGUUAAGUCCCGCAACGAGCGCAACCCUCGUUCCAUGUUGCCAGCACGUGAUGGUGGGGACUCAUGGGAGACUGCCGGGGUCAACUCGGAGGAAGGUGGGGACGACGUCAAAUCAUCAUGCCCCUUAUGUCUUGGGCUUCACGCAUGCUACAAUGGCCGGUACAAAGGGUUGCGAUACUGUGAGGUGGAGCUAAUCCCAAAAAGCCGGUCUCAGUUCGGAUUGGGGUCUGCAACUCGACCCC
Molecule: ribosomal RNA, 546 nt
Filed under: uncultured bacterium
Lineage: Bacteria
Description: bacterial SSU rRNA
Rfam family: Bacterial small subunit ribosomal RNA
Source: RNAcentral